UUUCUUUCAAUGCAUAAAAAGCGCAUUAAUGGCAAUAUCUAGAAGACAUUUCUAUUGGACUACUGAUUCAAAUCAAUUUAAAUAACAGUAUCAUACUUUUCCGACAAUUUUUCCAUCCAGAAUGUGUCCGUCUUUGAGAACCAAGGGUCUGACGGUUUCGUGGUAUCUGUUCAAGCCAAUCCAAACACUUCCUCAGUCUUCUACAUGUCUGUGAGAUCAUAUCCACCUUCCACAACAGGACAAGGUAAGGAGAAGAUCGGUCUCCCUCUUGUGACUGAAAUGUCAAACACAUCUUAAGACACUUGUGACCUGCUAAGAACAACACACUUUUUUUAUUCUUUUUGGUUUAAUGGUUAGAUGAUGGUGUCGUCAGGACAGCAUAUAAUCUGGAUUUGGAAACUGAGAGAUCAUUAACCCAGACUGUCCACUUGGUCUGAGCCUUUAGUGCAGGGGUCACCAGACACGGUCCUGGAGGGAGGGCCGGUUAGAUGCCCAUCGUGGAACAUAGUAGGUGUGGUGAACGCAGUUGAUCGAGACUGGCCCUUUAAAUCCCUCCAGCUGCUCAUCUCAGGCAUUUCUGGAGGAGACUCGGGUUUCACCAUUGAUCCAGUCAGAGAACCCAGAACUAGAUUAGGAGGAAAAGCAGGAUUUUGUCCAGGAUGUGGACAGAACUAACCAACAGACUGACCUCACUGUACAAGUUCAGAAUAUGAAUGAUAAAGCUGCAGUGUGUGACCCACUCUCAUAUACAUCCAUUAUGUGCUCCACCCUGGUGGCUGGAGUUCCCAUGAUCAUCCUCAGCUGCACAGACCCUGAUAGAGACCACCUAAACUGCCACCAUCACCAAUGGAAACAUCAUCAUCUCUAUUAUGACUCCAAUAGCAGAGCUUCAACUAUCCACUGUUAUACCGCUAUGUUCUCAAAAGUGUUGUUGUGGAGUCUGACACUCGCUUUCAUCACCAUUGUGCUGUGGAGCAUCUCCUAUCACUAUAUCCUAUCAUAAUUAUUUUGUUAAGGAAAAUUAAUGGUCUGGUUUCUACAAC
Molecule: long non-coding RNA, 1043 nt
Organism: Sinocyclocheilus grahami
Lineage: Eukaryota; Metazoa; Chordata; Actinopteri; Cypriniformes; Cyprinidae
Exons: 3
Source: RefSeq, a predicted model, not a curated record